RNAcentral lists this long non-coding RNA (8700 nucleotides) under Varroa destructor (honeybee mite). RNAcentral's name for it is "uncharacterized LOC111244561, transcript variant X4". Lineage: Eukaryota; Metazoa; Arthropoda; Arachnida; Mesostigmata; Varroidae. The record is from RNAcentral.
UUGAAUAGAUCAGCACACAGCCCUGAACGUCUCGAAGUUGUAUUUGAAGUCGUUACGAAAAAAACUGUGAAAAGCAAUUAUACUUGGAACUCUAGUGUAAUACGUCUGUUUGGCUUCGACGCUGUCUAGUCACAUUACGCACAUCGUUCAUCGUCAAAAACACUGAGGGCUGACAGAGACGUCAGUUCUACGCUCACGUUGUUCUAUCCCAAACAAGUAUAAGUCUCUGCGGUUUGCGGUUCCGGUAAGACAAUGCGCAUCUUGAGGCGGGCAGUAACCGAGCGUUGUUUUGGCUCGCUUUAUCUUAUUUCCUACCGCCAUUUUAUUUUCAAAAGUAAUUAAGAAGCCUGCAGUUCUGGCUCAAUAUUCAGGACCGCACACAUAACACUGGUGCAUCAAUUUCUGGUGCCAAGUGUCAAAUAAUUGUGGUUUUCAAGCAGUAACUAUGAAGCGAUUGUUCACAACAGCCGCCGUUUCAAUGAAUAGUAUUCUAUUCUUUUCGGAUUGUAGCCGCCGAUUUCUACGUAACACAGCACAAACAACUUUAUUAUCCAUGUGCUUUUUUUCUUUAGCAAGAUCGUCAUUGUUCCAUCAAUUACGCUCAAUUGUCGAACGUGAAUGAAGAAUAAACGGAACGCAUUGAAUGGUACGUCUUCUCCGCUCGAUCAAAUGUUGAUGUGAAAGUCACGCGACGCUUACAUUUCCUCAAACGUUAUCAUAACAGAACAAAGAGGAGUUGCAGGUAUGUGUGUAAAACUUUCAUACAUUGAGGCACAUUGUGUAGGACAAAUAGUAUUACUAAAUAGAGCGUCUUGGCUAGUUUGCUUUGUCGAGUUGCAGAACCUUAUGACAAGCAGAAACCCGUUUUGACAAAUAAAUAAUUCUGUUUAUGCGUUCAACAAGUUUCCUUGGGGAUUAAUUCGGUUAUUACGCGGAGCGUAAAAGCCACUCCUUUAGUUAUAGUCUCACGGAGUAUCCUCUUUUGGUUAUAUGGAACGCGCUUAUAGGCAAAGAUAUCAGAGUUAUGAGGAUUCAGUUUAGGUGGACAGAACCGGGUCACUUAUAGAUACACCGUAAUUUAUUGUGCAAACUGAAAAAUCUUGAAAAAUGUGCUGAAGGUAGUCCCUCUAAAAGUGCUUUCUCUGCAAUAACAAUAGCACCAACAGCUCUGGAAGAUGUCAGGAAAAGUUACUUUGUUAGGCUUCGAUUUAGUAAACGUCUAUAUAAGUAGUAACUGGCCGGUUACUCGGCAAAACAUCAGACAGCGUUCGACAAGGACGUCGCCAACCACAUCAUUUUCAAGUCACCACUGGCCACUGCUAACAGCCGCAACGGUGUUGUCGAUAUUAUUUCUAUCAAAAAGACAAAAGCCUAUCUGCUUUCUUUAUCUGCCUAGAUGUUGUCCUUUUGUCCUGCUUAGCAUUCCCGUGUGUGCGAGUACAUCUAUACGUGAUGCGUCAACUUAUAACGAUCAAUAUGGUCAAACGCUUUCUUCAGUCGUUGUAUUUCUUUACGACGAUGAGUGAGGGCAUUUGGGGCAUAUUGAAUGUAAGGCAGAGAAAACUGAUCGUCUUCAUUUUUGCCAAUUUGUUUUUUUCUAUCACUGCCACUUUCUUCGUUGUUGUAUCGAAAUGGUGACGAGUGGUGCGAUCAGCACGCUGCUAACGUAAUGUUGCCGUUAACCGUGAAUGGAUUCGACUGCAAACGGGUAGCCAAACGUUUACAUUUAAAAAGGAAAUAUGCUAAAGACUAACACAACAAAGCAUGCCUGCACUGCUGACAGAGGCCAAUAAUAUAUUUUUGGUUGACUGUUAUAUACAUAGAUAUAUAUAUGCAUAGCAGCGACAAUUUAGGCGGUACUGGCCAUGGUAAACACGUUUCCUUUGUCUGUUCUGAUACUCGAACAUAUGUUUUGGAAUAACGGACUUAAUACGAUGCUGCUACAACCGCUUAAAUGGACACCCCGUGUCCUAAAUUUUCGUCUCAACGUCACUAACUGAAACUGCGUCGGUGUUCCUGGCCUGAUCGCUUAGAACGAUACAAUCACUUUCAUUACCCGUAUCGCUCGGACAGUUUAUUAUUACAUCCGUAGUACUUUUCCUUUAUUUUUUUUAUAUUUUACUGACGGCACCAACAUAAGAACGCUAUGAAGAGUUUGCUGUUGGUGCAAAGACGAACACUUGGGCGAUAUUAAUGUGCAAUUGUAUAUAUUUGCAGAUUGUAUUAAGCAUAUUAUACAGAAACAACAGAAUAUAUCAGAGUCAGACAUAAUGAAAUAGUAGUUCAUGUUGACUAGGUAAACUUACACAAAAGCUGAGCAGUCGUUUGAUUCUUUACAGAAUAAAUUGUGGCAGGUGUGGACGUUAGCAAACGCCCGUUUAUAUUUUUAUGAAAUGCAACCUCGUCUUUAUUCUGCCAUCUUUUAAUGCUAUUCGAUCCAGGAACAUAAUUCGGAUUGAACUAUACAGUAAAGUUUGCAACGGAUAAUUCAAGGAUGGAUGCACAUUAAUUUUGGAAUUAAAUUAACUUUUAAGCUUUCGAAUUAGAAGAAAUGGCAUAAUUACAAAUUUUGGAUUUCCAAAGUGUGACGACUGUGUCUAAUAUUCUGUCUCAGACUAGUUGUUCGGAUUGCGGUUACGGCUUUUCUGUAAAGCAAAAGACGAUAUUCGUCCAUUACUGAAAACGAGUUCACACUGACCUCAAUAUGGAAAUCUUCGCUAAGAUCAAUAAAGGAAACCCUUUAACGCAAUAUAAACGUUUGUCACUUCACCGUCUCAAAAAGCCACAGCGUUGGAUAUUCUCUAUUUCGAUUCAAGCAAUGCAGAUAAAAAGUGCCUAAAAGGUACAGCAAUCGUUCGUGAUCCAUUUGCUUCGACCUUUAGUGACCUCUCACUACGAGAUGGUAAGAGGAAUAUUCGUUUACCUUUUUUGUCGACUUGUCACAUCGCGACACGAGAGUCAUUGCGUCGUCUCUUAAUUAAAUGCUUUCUUUACCACACCUCCAUUCGGUGUCAAUAAUAUCCCUUUCUCUCCUAUCGUUUGGGUCGUAACGACCUUAUUGCUGAUAUAAACGCACUGCGGUGAUCCAUUCAAUGAACAAAAUCGAUAAAAUUAUCAAUAGCCAUAGUACAUCGUGUUCUACUAAUAGAAUUAUUGCGGGUUUACCUAAUGCACUGCGGCCAAGAAGAAACAUUUUGAAAUUAUCUGUGAGAAGUACCAUCCACUAUAGCAAUGCUAUCCAAUCGUAUCAACCGCAUAUAACAAGGAUGUUAAAUGUAAACGGAAGAUACCCUGUAACCGGCUUUGUAAGGAACUGGCUGAGACAGGAACAUCUUCGAAGGCUACUGUAGCUGACCGCAAGCCUUAAAUAACAACGAAUCCCACUUAUUGCGCCGAUGUCUCUACCAGACCUACUCAGACGAGGUACAAAAGUGCUCAUCGAAUCGCACCGUGAUGGACGUGGUCUGCGACCGUUGAUAUCGCUACGACAUUUAUGACGAGCUCAUUAUUUCCAGUGCCCAGUUCAACUCUUACGGGCACUGAAGCUGGGCUGAACAUUCGAAUGCCACCGCUGGCACAUACUUGCAGGCGACGACCCGUACCCCAUCGAUGCAAUAGUAAAGUAAGGAUGGGAAUUUGAGGCGCGAGAUUAGCUGAUCUUUUGCUGUUGACGCAUCUGGACUAGCGAGAAAUCGUCUUUUACAGAAACUGCACCUGCAAGCAUUUGUCGUUUAGAGCUUUAGGUCGACCCUGCUGCAGUGUCCAGGUUUCUGAUCACCCUCCAUCGCGUGGCGCCCCGGCGAAAUAUACGCAGUUCCUGCCAUAUAAUAACAUAAACGCAUCAGUCAGGUAAACUACUACGUGACUACUUGCUGGAGAAAGGUGGUAGCCAUGUCUCUUGGCGUUAAUUUCCACUUGGAUGAGAUGUCAUGGCCUAAAUCGCUUUAUGAACUUAAUCAGUUUCACCCGACUGUCACAGCCUAUAAAAAUCCGCUCCAACCGAAAUCGGGAGACUGAACACAUUUCGAAACCUUUUCUCUGCAGCAACACAAACAGUUCUGCUUUGAGCUUUAACUUCCUUUUACGCUAAUAACAGCUUAUAAUGGCAUGAAACUUAGAUGAGUGUUCAUUAUAGUAAUGGAACUAGCUAGCUCAGCGAAAAAUUUAUCAGCGAUUCAACAUUAUAUAUAUUCAAAUUCUACUGGCUUGUGCAAUUUAAAUGAUUCACCAUAUAUGCGUUGAUAUAACAGGAAGUACAAGCCCUACUUGAACAUGAGUCGAUUGCUGUCCUUACCUACUAAUUGAAAUUUUACGAAAAUUCCAAUUAGACGUUUCAAGGAAAAUUUAGCUUGCCGUAUUUUGCGAAAUGAGUAUAUCAUUCAGACAGUAAACACUUCGGCUUUGAGUUGGACUAAAUAAACGUAUGUUUACUAUUAGCGUCUGUCCAAAGUUUCGUGUAGCGUUAUUUCGAAAUUCAGAUAGAUAGAAUAUGAUUCUGUUUCGAAAUUCAGAAACGUCUACUCGAUAAAUACAGUUAAUCCAAUUAAGCCUAUCCAUCCUGAAUAGAAAGCCGCUGUAUAUCAUGUAACGUUUUGCAGUGUUAAUAAUAAUAAGCUAGUUCUACCAGUGCAGAGCCAAUAGUAGGCUGAGGUAGUAUAUUUCGAUUCGGAGAUUUUCUGGGGCUUUUUAAAGUAUCUAUGCGAAGCUAUCUGUCCCAUAAAUGAAAUCGGGAGUUUUUAUAGACGGAGUCGUCCAGCGCGAAUGAAAAGUAACAAAAAUUGUAAUGUAACAUAUAGUGUAGCAAUGAAUAAUAAUGUCGCUGACGGAUACACGGGUACAGUUUAGCUUGUAUGAGUUGCCGUCAGCUCAUUCUAAGGAUUACUGCCAUUAUUUAUUUCGAAAACGUACUGAACGGUCUUAGUUAAACUGGUUUGUCUCAUAUGAGUUACAUUUUGCAGAAUUUGUUUGAUAUCCAAUUAACCGUGUGCUGGCUAAUCGCAGAAAGAACGACUAGAAACUAUUUGAUCUAUUUUCUGACGGGCCUUCUGUAAUGUCAGGCCGAUAAAUUAACAUAUGUAUAUAUAAAUUAACCAGUUAUCACAACGAUGGCAAAACGAUCUCAAAAGCCAACAUCCCAAGGGAUUGUACAGUGAUUCGGGAAACAAUGUUUAUUUCAAGCUUUCCAGAGAACUUUGUGCAGUGUACUUAUACACUGUGGAAAUAUCGCAAUUGUUUUCCCAGUUUUCAGGUAUGACUACAGAUAAAUUAUUACAUGGAGUAAAAAGGCAAACUUAAAUAACUUAAAUGAUUGUAACAUGAACGAGAGUGGCUCGAGAAUCUCCUUGGCUUGAAGCAUGUCUUCAUUUCUCUCUAGCGGCGUUACCUUUUAAUCACAGUUAAUUAAACCCGAUCUAGACAAAUUGUCUCUGCGAACUAUGUGUGUUAUUCCCCUAAUAUGCCGCUUGUUGUCACUAGACGAAUUUUAAUAUUUUUAAUUGUGGAGAAAAUUUAUAUGCGGGACCUACUUCGCCAAAUGAGCCACUUUGCGUCAGAAAAUCGGUUCUAUUCGAACGCAUUAAAAGUGUCCACAGCGCGUAAACGCUAUUCAGAUAUCGGCCGCAUUUUUUCUCACUUUCUGCUAUCUUCCCAUCUUGGGCUUCUGCAGGUGCUUCAACCCCAGCACGCCUGCUGUCCGUUCGUUCAUCCACUUGAACCGCUGUUCACCCCGUUAGGCAUCGGUCCGUUGCGAUGCUUAAUUCGACAGCGUCUGACACCUUAAUAAUCUGUUUUUCUUUGUAGACUUCACCUUCAUUCAAGAACUUAGGUGAUGUGUUCCAACCAUGUAAGCAUAACUUUAUAACAAAACUAAUCGGCGAGAUGAAUCUGCAAUCGGUUCUUAACACAGUUUGCUGCUGGUGUGGAUAACGCUUUGACCGGAUCAAGCAGUGUCCGUUUGUGUUCGAAUCACAGCUGACAGAACAUAGAGCUAUUCUACGAAAUACGCACACCGGACACGCGUUUGCGUUUACUUAGAUAUUCAUGCAAAUUUAUUAUAUUUUAGAUACGUCGGUAUUUAGGCUGAAACAUUGAAUUUAGGAAAAACGCACGAAGCAAGAACGACUCAUAAUGGUGUUGUGGUAAAAUCUGAUAGUGAUAAUUGAAAUUGGACAGCUGUGCAAAGUAAAUAUGUUUCUAGAAUAAUUGCAGCGGGAGAUGUGAAGGACUUGAUAAAGGAUACGAGUAUUAUCGCUGAAAUUGAUCCAGUUGGUAAGAUCAUUUGCUCUGAUAGCGCUACCUUCCCGAAUGUUGAGAAGCAUGGGCGCUCUCUUUUUGAUAAGUACCAGCGGAACACAGCUAACUAAGCUGUUGCUACAAGUUCGAUAAUAACUUCACGGGUAGAAAAGUUCGUUCGAAGACGGGGUUUGCGGUGGGUGAGGGCUUUUUUGUCCUAAUAUGAUAAGGCUUAGAACAUUCGCAGCUUUUGUUGAAGAAUUUUUUUCUGUAAAAUGACAUGAUAUAUAGUUGCGUUAUCGAUUCCGCUUCUGUAAGUUUAAAAGAAUUUUUUUUUAAACAUCUUCAGCUGUUACAUCUACGUGUAACCUCCAUUUUGUAACACUUAGAUCCCUAUCUAUAUAGAAUCCCUAAAAAAAGUGAUCUGAAUUAGACCCUUUUCUCGAUCUUUAUGACCGAUUCGUAGGAUCUGGAACCUUGCAAACCUGGGAACCUUUGUAACUGAACAAACUAGUCCGAAGUGUUUAAUAUUUGCGUUUAAUGUCAAGGAGUUUGCUGGAGUCUAUCACUGAUUGGGAUAGAAUAAAGGCAUUAAAACACCAUAACUCAAAGGGCUUUAAGUCAAAAAUGAUACUUUAAAUACGCCUAAUAGACACAACGUAGCUGAUCUCUUCGUCUAUAAAUGAUAUUCUCAAAAAAGCAUACUUAGAAAUAAUCAUGUGCGGAAGACAGACGUUUGAAUAAGCAAUCUAAAUCAACCUUCAUUAGUGUAACCUCUAAAUCCCAACCUCUGUCGACUAGCGACAAAAUACAUGUGACCACUAUUUUUUUUUUAUUAAUUAGGUAUUUGAGAAAUAUUUGACAAUUUUUGAAUAGUUUAAUAAUCCAAACAAGAAAAAAUUAUAAUUAUUGAUAAUAAUGAGAUGGCCUCUUCGAACAUUGACAGGUAUUAUUUUUAAGAAAAGACGUUUUAUCUUACCGAAGCUUUAUAGAAUUGUUACCGGUUCGUUCCGCCAAUAUGAUGCUGUUAAUUUUAUUAAAUAAUUUCUCUUUCUUCUAAGUGGUUGAACCUCUGCGACGAAGAUUUUUUUGCAGUGGCACACAUUCGAGUGAGUUCUGACCCUGUAAACUAUCUGCUUAUUGACUGUACCUAGGCUAACCGUUGCCGUCCAUUGCGGUGAAUGGGCAAAAACUCAGCCAACGAGGUAAUGACAGGACCUGCCGUGUCGUAUUUUGUAUAUUCGAUCAUCUUAUGUUCAUGUUCAAUUCAUUCUAAACAACAAUUAGACGUUUAUCAUGGAUUGCACUAACUAGGAGUGGUAGGAAAUGCGGGUAAUUUGUCGUGGGAGCAGCCAUCAUUACAUUUGGCUAUUCCAACGUACUUUUACUCAAGGCUUGACGUAGUAGUCCUUAACGAUAAUCGUUGUAUACAAAUUUGAUAGAGCACGGUUCAAUUUAGUGAAAACAAUAAUCUUUGAGGAGAAGAUCGUUACGGGCCAGACGAUCGAAUCAUCCGAUCAUAUGUUAGAAUUGGUGUAAAUUAUGAGUCUGCUAUUCAGACAUAAUUUAAGAUUAUGGGUUGAAUAAUAAAUUGACAAAAGUCCUUAUCAAUACCAGACUACCUUUAUUUAUCAUACUGUUUCCCAGCUACUCAACAGGAACGGAAAGCUUCAUUCUCAUCCAAUUUGUCCUUUCUGCAGGCACUUUACUGUCGUAUUCGUUUACUGCACCGAAAAAGAUGUAGAUGAAUAGCCCUCAUCACAAAUGUUUUUUUAUUUGUUAUCUAAGUUUAUUCGCCGUACAAACAGCAAGAAAUACGACUAAAACAGCAGUGAACCCGAACCAAUGAAAAGUAAAGUCUUCGGCGUAUUUCUACCGGCAUUUCGCAUACACAUUAUUUAUUUUUAAAAAAUACCCACGGUGCUAUCGGCUGCUUGUGGAGCCUGACGCUGCCUCUCAGUCUCGAUAACCAGGGGUACGUGUCGAUAGAGAAUUGAGACAUCACCGCCUUUGGUCUGGUGCAGUGUAUUCUAGAGGGCUAUAUUUCUCGUGCGCCCGACACGGUGCAUAAUGAUUAACGGCAAGCGAUGCAAUUGUGCUUUAGUUUUCUAUGGAAUUAUACUGAUUCACCAUGGGCGGCAGCGGCUUCAGCGUCAGGUCAUAUCAUGCCCGCAUACAAAAAGACCACGUUGUAUAACUGCAACAGCUUGCCAGACCCGGAUCAACGUACGGGUCUGUACACCAGCAGUCUCGGUGGCGCGCGUAGUAAAUGUUGUACCAUGCAUCAUUCCGUCACGACAGUGGCAAGAAGAAGCAGUCAGGUGGAGAUGAAAGUGUCAAGCUAAACAGUGGAUAGCCGACAACUAAUAACGAAGCGAAACACGGCCAUCCGUCGACCGCUGCAGCGACUAACCAUUUAGCAUCGUUAAGUCCUGCGAUGAAUAACCCAUAAACCAGGACCAGUGACAA